AUUGAACGCUGGCGGCAUGCUUUACACAUGCAAGUCGAACGGUAACAGGCCGCAAGGUGCUGACGAGUGGCGAACGGGUGAGUAAUGCGUCGGAACGUGCCCAGUCGUGGGGGAUAACUACUCGAAAGAGUAGCUAAUACCGCAUACGAUCUAUGGAUGAAAGCGGGGGACCGUAAGGCCUCGCGCGAUUGGAGCGGCCGAUGUCAGAUUAGGUAGUUGGUGGGGUAAAGGCUCACCAAGCCAACGAUCUGUAGCUGGUCUGAGAGGACGACCAGCCACACUGGGACUGAGACACGGCCCAGACUCCUACGGGAGGCAGCAGUGGGGAAUUUUGGACAAAGGGCGCAAGCCUGAUCCAGCAAUGCCGCGUGCAGGAAGAAGGCCUUCGGGUUGUAAACUGCUUUUGUACGGAACGAAACGGCUCUGGUUAAUACCCGGGGCUAAUGACGGUACCGUAAGAAUAAGCACCGGCUAACUACGUG
RNAcentral lists this ribosomal RNA (482 nucleotides) under uncultured bacterium. RNAcentral describes it as "partial 16S ribosomal RNA". It matches the Rfam family "Bacterial small subunit ribosomal RNA", at positions 30 to 507 of the family's 1533-position model. The record is from RNAcentral.